Zonotrichia albicollis (white-throated sparrow) is the source of this 691-nucleotide long non-coding RNA. RefSeq lists it as uncharacterized. NCBI's taxonomy places the organism in Eukaryota, Metazoa, Chordata, Aves, Passeriformes, Passerellidae. The record is from RefSeq and is a predicted model, not a curated record.
GCGCCGGCUCCUCCUCUGCGGGGAAAAAUGGUGAAGUCCACCUGCCCAGAGCAGGGACCGCCCUCACGGAGUCGAGCCAUGGACCAGGAGGGAGGCGCAGAGCGUGCAGCCCAGUGAUGUGACCCAGGAUACAGCUGUUGUCUGCCUCACUCAGAGCUGUGACACAGCCAAGCCCUCUGAUACAUCUUCCAGAAAAACAUGUGACAACCACAAGACCACCUUUUCAUCAGGAGUAGCAGAAGUCUUGGUUGUAUACCAAUGAACUUAAAAUGCCAAAACCCAGAUGGAAAAGCUCCUUUCAGGCAUACAGCCACAGUAACCCUGGUUCCAGCAGGGAAAAUUUUUCUACACCCACAGGAGCAUGACAGAGAUUUGUUCAACCAAAGAACAUGAACAAAAGAGCAGAUGAACAUCUCCAGGCUUACCCAAUGGAAAUUACCAUCUUCAACACAGAAAAACAAAUGAAUAACAAACUAGAAGCUCCAGUAACAGUAGGCUUUGUCAUAGCAUCUGCAUUCCCAGCAUGAAAAGUAGCUCUGGCCACACUGGAAGUACAAGAGCAUCUUUUGGCCUCAGGUCACAGACACUCGGAGCUGCAUCCUGGAGAACUCCUUUUGCAGCUUAAUUUAGAGAACAACAGUAAUUCGGGGAUUUUUUUUUUUUUUUUGUGUUUGUUGGUUUUUGUUUGUUU